GCUCCAAUAGCCGUAUAUUAAAGUUGUUGCAGUUAAAAGCUCGUAGUUGAAUUUCGGGAUCAGUAUGUUGGUCAUGCCUCUGGUAUGUACUGAUCUCACUGAUUCCUCCUUCCUUAUGAACCGUAAUGCCAUUAAUUUGGUGGUGCGGGGAAUUUGGACUGUUACUUUGAAAAAAUUAAAGU
This 182-nucleotide ribosomal RNA is filed under the name Glomus sp. RNAcentral's name for it is "partial small subunit ribosomal RNA". It matches the Rfam family "Eukaryotic small subunit ribosomal RNA", at positions 588 to 772 of the family's 1831-position model. The record is from RNAcentral. Lineage: Eukaryota; Fungi; Glomeromycota; Glomeromycetes; Glomerales; Glomeraceae.